RNAcentral lists this ribosomal RNA (301 nucleotides) under uncultured bacterium. Its description in RNAcentral is "partial 16S ribosomal RNA". It matches the Rfam family "Bacterial small subunit ribosomal RNA", at positions 509 to 809 of the family's 1533-position model. The record is from RNAcentral.
CAGCCGCCACGGUAAAACGAAGGGUGCAAGCGUUACUCGGAGUUACUGGGCGUAAAGCGUGCGUAGGUGGUGGUUUAAGUCCGUUGUGAAAGCCCUGGGCUCAACCUGGGAAUUGCAGUGGAUACUGGAUCACUAGAGUGUGGUAGAGGAUAGUGGAAUUUCCGGUGUAGCAGUGAAAUGCGUAGAGAUCGGAAGGAACAUCUGUGGCGAAGGCGACUAUCUGGGCCAACACUGACACUGAGGCACGAAAGCGUGGGGAGCAAACAGGAUUAGAUACCCCCGUAGUCCCUGUCUCUUAUAA